UAAGACGAACCGUGCGAACGUUGUUCGGAAUCACUGGGCUUAAAGGGCGCGUAGGCGGGCUAUCAAGUCCGGGGUGAAAUCCUCCCGCUCAACGGGAGAACGGCCUCGGAUACUGAUGGUCUCGAGGGAGAUAGGGGCACACGGAACUGUGGGUGGAGCGGUGAAAUGCGUUGAUAUCCAUAGGAACUCCGGUGGCGAAAGCGGUGUGCUGGAUCUCUUCUGACGCUGAGGCGCGAAAGCCAGGGGAGCAAACGGGAUUAGAUACCCCGGUAGUCCUGGCCCUAAACGUUGGGUACUAGGUAGUAGACUAGACAUGGGUUUACUUCCGAAGCAAAAGUGCUAAGUACCCCGCCUGGGGAGUAUGGUCGCAAGGCUGAAACUCAAAGGAAUUGACGGGGGCUCACACAAGCGGUGGAGCAUGUGGCUUAAUUCGAGGCAACGCGAAGAACCUUACC
Molecule: ribosomal RNA, 455 nt
Filed under: uncultured bacterium
Lineage: Bacteria
Description: bacterial SSU rRNA
Rfam family: Bacterial small subunit ribosomal RNA
Source: RNAcentral